GACGAACGCUGGCGGCGUGCUUAACACAUGCAAGUCGAGCGGUAAGGCCCUUUCGGGGGUACACGAGCGGCGAACGGUGAGUAACACGUGGGUGACCUGCCCUUAGCUCUGGGAUAAGCCUGGGAAACUGGGUCUAAUACCGGAUAUGACUCCAUGACGCAUGUUGUGGGGUGGAAAGCCUUGCGCGGCUAGGGAUGGGCCCGCGGCCUAUCAGCUUGUUGGUGGGGUGAUGGCCUACCAAGGCGACGACGGGUAGCCGGCCUGAGAGGGCGACCGGCCACACUGGGACUGAGACACGGCCCAGACCCCUACGGGAGGCAGCAGUGGGGAAUCUUGCGCAAUGGGGACGAAAGCCUGACGCAGCGACGCCGCGUGAGGGAUGAC
RNAcentral lists this ribosomal RNA (384 nucleotides) under uncultured bacterium. RNAcentral's name for it is "bacterial SSU rRNA". It matches the Rfam family "Bacterial small subunit ribosomal RNA", at positions 28 to 412 of the family's 1533-position model. The record is from RNAcentral.